GAUGAAGAACGCAGCGAAAUGCGAUAAGUAAUGUGAAUUGCAGAAUUCAGUGAAUCAUCGAAUCUUUGAACGCACCUUGCACCCUUUGGCAUUCCGAAGGGUAUGCUCGUUUGAGUGUCAUUGUACUCUCACACUCCCGAUCUUUGGAUUGGGAGCGGUGGACUUGGGUUUGCUGCUUGCCGUGGCUCACCUCAAAUGGAUUAGUGCAACUCUUGGUUGACCAUAGUACGGCGUGAUAAGUGUCUUCGCCGGCACCUCACUGGGUGGGCCGAUCGGGAGCUCUGGGCUUCAAACCGUCUUCGGACAACAACUGACAACUUGACCUCAAAUCGAGUAGGACCACCCGCUGAACUUAAGCAUAUCAAUAAGCGGAGGA
RNAcentral lists this unclassified non-coding RNA (376 nucleotides) under soil metagenome. RNAcentral describes it as "partial contains 5.8S ribosomal RNA, internal transcribed spacer 2, and large subunit ribosomal RNA". The stretch from base 1 to 120 matches the Rfam family "5.8S ribosomal RNA", at positions 35 to 154 of the family's 154-position model. The record is from RNAcentral.